ACUCCUACGGGAGGCAGCAGUGGGGAAUAUUGGACAAUGGGGGAAACCCUGAUCCAGCAAUGCCGCGUGUGUGAAGAAGGCCUGAGGGGUUGUAAAAGCACUUUCAACUGUGAGGAUUGGGAUUUUGGUUAAUACCCGAGAUCCUUGACGUUAGCAGUAGAAGAAGCACCGGCUAACUCCGUGCCAGCAGCCGCGGUAAUACGGAGGGUGCAAGCGUUAAUCGGAAUUACUGGGCGUAAAGCGUCUGUAGGCGGCUUAUUAAGUCGGAUGUGAAA
RNAcentral lists this ribosomal RNA (275 nucleotides) under uncultured bacterium. Its description in RNAcentral is "partial 16S ribosomal RNA". It matches the Rfam family "Bacterial small subunit ribosomal RNA", at positions 335 to 599 of the family's 1533-position model. The record is from RNAcentral.